Molecule: ribosomal RNA, 622 nt
Filed under: uncultured bacterium
Lineage: Bacteria
Description: bacterial SSU rRNA
Rfam family: Bacterial small subunit ribosomal RNA
Source: RNAcentral
CCUACGGGAGGCAGCAGUGGGGAAUAUUGGACAAUGGGCGGAAGCCUGAUCCAGCCAUGCCGCGUGUGUGAAGAAGGCCUUUUGGUUGUAAAGCACUUUAAGCGAGGAGGAGGCUACUAGUAUUAAUACUACUGGAUAGUGGACGUUACUCGCAGAAUAAGCACCGGCUAACUCUGUGCCAGCAGCCGCGGUAAUACAGAGGGUGCGAGCGUUAAUCGGAUUUACUGGGCGUAAAGCGUGCGUAGGCGGCUGAUUAAGUCGGAUGUGAAAUCCCUGAGCUUAACUUAGGAAUUGCAUUCGAUACUGGUCAGCUAGAGUAUGGGAGAGGAUGGUAGAAUUCCAGGUGUAGCGGUGAAAUGCGUAGAGAUCUGGAGGAAUACCGAUGGCGAAGGCAGCCAUCUGGCCUAAUACUGACGCUGAGGUACGAAAGCAUGGGGAGCAAACAGGAUUAGAUACCCUGGUAGUCCAUGCCGUAAACGAUGUCUACUAGCCGUUGGGGUCUUUGAGACUUUAGUGGCGCAGCUAACGCGAUAAGUAGACCGCCUGGGGAGUACGGCCGCGAAGACUAAAACUCAAAUUGAAAUUGACGGCGNGAGAGNGCGACGGCGACGAGAGGGAGAGG